CUUGAUGGAGCCGAGCAGCAGAGGCCGGUCCGCGGGCCGGUCCUGCCCGUACGUCGCCAGCAGCGCCUGGGCCUC
RNAcentral lists this antisense RNA (75 nucleotides) under Streptomyces sp. ADI96-15. RNAcentral's name for it is "ASpks TB sRNA". It matches the Rfam family "ASpks TB sRNA". The record is from RNAcentral. Lineage: Bacteria; Bacillati; Actinomycetota; Actinomycetes; Kitasatosporales; Streptomycetaceae.